GUUUAUUGAAGAAUCAUUUCGUUUUUGUAUAUUUGUGAUUUAAUUUUUUGUGCUAUAGAUUAUUUGUACCGUAUGGGGUUGUUUCGUUAAUGUUUUUUUAGAAGCUGAUUUUGUUUGUUGUACCUUGUGUAUCAGGGUUCAUUGAAUUUUAUUAUUUAUUUUUAUUUCCCGAUUAUGAAGGAGUUAAUGGUUUAUGUUAGUUAUUGUUUCAUCAUUAUUAAUAAUAAGCUAUUGGUAGUGAAAUGUUAUUCGUCUUUAGUGGUUUCUGGUUUUUCAAGAAAUGAAUUUAAUUCAGGUACCUUAUUUAAUUUUUAUUUUUAUUUAUUUUAUUUUUAUUUGGUGUUAAGAUUAAGGGGGAUUAGCUCCUUAUUUAAUUUUUAUAAUUUUUGUUUUUAAUUAGUUUUGUGGAUUUUAUGGUGAUUUUCAAUUUGAUUAUGUUAAAAUUUUAUUUAUUCUUUUGUUUAUUUGGAUUGUUAUUUAAUUUGUUUAUUGAAAUGUUUUCUUUACUUAUUUGUCUGGAUGGUAAUUAUUGUGUAAUUAGUAAAUUUUGUUUUAUGUUGUUUGGUUAGAGUUGUUAAAUUCUUUUGAGGAAUUCGGCAAACAUUUCAUGUCCGCCUGUUUAACAAAAACAUCUUUUCUUGUUAGUUUUUGAAGUAUGGCCUGCCCACUGACGAUUUAUGUUGAAGGGCCGCGGUAUUUUGACCGUGCAAAGGUAGCAUAAUCAUUAGUUCUUUAAUUGUGAUCUGGUAUGAAUGGCUUGACGAGACAUGAGCUGUCUUAAUAUUUGAAUAUUUGAUUGAAUUUGGUCUUUGAGUUAAAAUUCUUAAAUGUUUUUAUGGGACGAGAAGACCCUAUAGAGUUUAACAUUUAAUUUGCUUUCUGUUGUUUUAGUUUGUUUUGUUUUUAAGUAAUUUAGGUGUUUUGUUGGGGUGAUGGGAGGAAUUUAUUUAACUCCUCUUUAUUUUGUAUAUUUAUUUGUAUUUUUUUGAUCCAAUUAUUUUGAUUAUAAGAUUAAAUUACCUUAGGGAUAACAGCGUUAUCUCCCUUGAGAGUUCUUAUUGGCGGGGAGGUUUGCGACCUCGAUGUUGGAUUAAGGUUAAUUUUUGGUGUAGGAGCUGAAAGUGAUUGGGUCUGUUCGACCUUUAAAAUCUUACAUGAUCUGAGUUCAGACCGGCGUGAGCCAGGUUGGUUUCUAUCUAUAAUAUUUUUUAUAUCUUAGUACGAGAGGACCGGGUAUUUGGAAUAAUUUUAUUUUGGUGAUUAUU
Molecule: ribosomal RNA, 1265 nt
Filed under: Apolemotermes fodiens
Lineage: Eukaryota; Metazoa; Arthropoda; Insecta; Blattodea; Termitidae
Description: 16S ribosomal RNA
Rfam family: Bacterial large subunit ribosomal RNA (bases 834-1202)
Source: RNAcentral